UAUUUAGAAUAAGUAGUUAUUUUCAGAAUGUAGAUAUCUAGUGUAUAGUAUAAACAGGGAUAGAUAAUUGCUGAAAAGGUGGUUCAGCAGGUAGAAUAGAUGAAUAGUCAAGAAAAGUAGUUAUCAUCUAUAGUAUAGGAGUUGAUAUCUCGGAGUAGUAUAGGGAGGAUGGGAGAGAGGAAGAAAAUGCCAGACUGUGAUAGUCAUGAGCCAAGGUAAGCUUAGUGCUAUCUCUUCU
Molecule: long non-coding RNA, 238 nt
Filed under: Physcomitrium patens
Lineage: Eukaryota; Viridiplantae; Streptophyta; Bryopsida; Funariales; Funariaceae
Description: long non-coding RNA (PPAT_LNC009924)
Source: RNAcentral